This 310-nucleotide ribosomal RNA is filed under the name uncultured bacterium. RNAcentral describes it as "partial 16S ribosomal RNA". It matches the Rfam family "Bacterial small subunit ribosomal RNA", at positions 503 to 808 of the family's 1533-position model. The record is from RNAcentral.
AAGAGACAGCAGUCGCCACGGGAAAACGUAGGUGGCAAGCGUUGUCCGGAAUUAUUGGGCGUAAAGGGCUCGCAGGCGGUUUCUUAAGUCUGAUGUGAAAGCCCCCGGCUCAACCGGGGAGGGUCAUUGGAAACUGGGAAACUUGGGUGCAGAAGAGGAGAGUGGAAUUCCACGUGUAGCGGUGAAAUGCGUAGAGAUGUGGAGGAACACCAGUGGCGAAGGCGACUCUCUGGUCUGUAACUGACGCUGAGGAGCGAAAGCGUGGGGAGCGAACAGGAUUAGAACCCGUGUAGUCCCUGUCUCUUAUACA